RNAcentral lists this long non-coding RNA (201 nucleotides) under Elaeis guineensis (African oil palm). RNAcentral describes it as "long non-coding RNA (EGUI_LNC042040)". The record is from RNAcentral. Lineage: Eukaryota; Viridiplantae; Streptophyta; Magnoliopsida; Arecales; Arecaceae.
AGUUUUUUAUUUUAUAUCAAAUUUUAUAUGUAAAAUUUUUAUAUUAUAGAUCUUUUAUGAUAGCUUAAAUCUGAUUUAAAAUAUGUAUAGAAGAUUAAAAUAUUUAAUCUUUUAUUUUUUUGCUGUAAAAUUUUAAAAGUACAUACUUUGAACUAUCCAUUUUUCCUUUAAUCUCCAUGAAAAUCAGAUUCCCAUCCCCGU